UGAGGAAUAUUGGUCAAUGGACGGAAGUCUGAACCAGCCAAGUAGCGUGCAGGAAGACGGCCCUAUGGGUUGUAAACUGCUUUUAUACGAGAAUAAUUUGAUGCACGUGUGCGUUAUUGCAUGUAUCGUAUGAAUAAGGACCGGCUAAUUCCGUGCCAGCAGCCGCGGUAAUACGGAAGGUCCAGGCGUUAUCCGGAUUUAUUGGGUUUAAAGGGAGUGUAGGCGGUUUGUUAAGCGUGUUGUGAAAUUUAGAUGCUCAACAUUUAACUUGCAGCGCGAACUGGCGAACUUGAGUGCACACAACGUAUGCGGAAUUCAUGGUGUAGCGGUGAAAUGCUUAGAUAUCAUGAAGAACUCCGAUUGCGAAGGCAGCAUACGGGAGUGUAACUGACGCUUAAGCUCGAAGGUGCGGGUAUCGAACAGGAUUAGAUACCCUGGUAGUCCGCACAGUAAACGAUGGAUGCCCGCUGUUAGCGCCUGGCGUUAGCGGCUAAGCGAAAGCAUUAAGCAUCCCACCUGGGGAGUACGCCGGCAACGGUG
RNAcentral lists this ribosomal RNA (540 nucleotides) under uncultured bacterium. RNAcentral describes it as "bacterial SSU rRNA". It matches the Rfam family "Bacterial small subunit ribosomal RNA", at positions 355 to 896 of the family's 1533-position model. The record is from RNAcentral.